GUCCAGCUCUCAACAACUGUAUGGCCAACACACACGUAGGCUCGAGUGUUUACUCAGCAAACCUUGCCUCUCCCACCUUACACGCCUUUCAAAAUACAAAGGAAUAGACUCCCUCACUGUCAAUGCCUUGGCAGCCAGAAAACGGAAUUCCGCUCAUAGGGUUUAACUGAAGAGACGUAAAUGAAGGAAUCGUUGAUGAGACAAUCUGAUUCUGUUCAUGAGACUUGGGGUGUUGGCAGCAGGUGGUAAACGGUUUAACUUACUGUGAAGAAGCACCCCGGUCUUCUGAGUAGUCUGGCCUUGCUCAGAGACACAUGCUGAGACUGGUGCAUGAGAAUUCGACUGACCUGGUGGAGUCAUAAGAUGUUUAAGCCAGAAGGGGACCGUUUACAGAGCGUUGAACUCAGCCAGUGCACAUUAGAGAUAAUAAAACUGAGACCCAGAGGAACUCACCAGUCUGCUCGACUUACACAGUGAGCGUGUGGCGGGGCUGGGAAGCGAGCCCAGAUGACCUGACUCGAGACGAAGCAGCAAGCCCAAGCUUACGUGGCAAGUCUGUGGCAGGAGAUGACUGAUAAACGUCUCGCUGUGCUACACCAUCUCUGCUGAUUCAGUUUUUUCACUUCCAUGCGGAGUCACUCAAAAGUACAGAAUGACACUGGAACAAAGGGCAGCCAGAUAAUCAAGUUUGUGAAUUUCCCGAUUUGAUCUCCUCUCUUCCUCCAACAGAUGAGGAUUCUGACUCCUGCCUCUUCAGCGUUGCUCUGACACUGGGCGGAGGGCCUUGCUCACGGUAGCUGCUCAUCCUGGUGGACCGGCCAACUGGAAGGGCUCUGGGGCUUCGCUGGCUGGUCUUGGCAGUGGGCAGAGUGAGAAGGGAAGUCCUGUCCACAUGGCUGAGAUUGUAAAUUAGGGCUAGGAAGAAACUCACCUUUUUGAAGUCACGUAAGACAAAGGACUUCCUAGCUACAUCUGUGACACAUUGACCUGCCUAGGAGAAUGAACCACGACAAUGGACGUGAACUGGAAGGUGGCCAGCGUCCAUUCUGGAGGUCAUGUUUAUAGUGACCUCUCUUGGGGCACAGGUGUCUCUGUCCCCGUCAGGGUCUCCUCUGAAAGAAUGACAUUGUGCUGUGUUUUGUGCCUGAGCCGCAGCGCAGAUAGCAUGGCUUCGGCUUUCCACCACUAGCCUUCAGAGCUGUGGCAAAACCAUAAUUGGAACCUUUCAAUGAGCUAUUUGGAUAAACAGACUGUCAGUUCUUGGUUAUAAAUAAACUGCUAUCAGGCAUCUGAAAAAGACAAAAUGAUAGCAAUGUACCAAAAUGCAAAGGGACGCACACCUCGGAACGCCAAGCUAUCCAAGACCAGUUGCGUAAUCUGUAACUUCCACCACUUCGGUUUCCCAAAUUGCUCUGGAGCACAGUGUAAGGAAAACAGCACAGGCUUUGUGGUCAGGCAGGUCUGAGUCUGAAUUCUGUCUCCGGUGUUCUUUAGCGGUGGCCUUGGGCUAGGUGUUUAACUCCUUAGAACCUCAUCAUCCUCACUCAUAAAGUGGGGAGAGAAGGGAAUCAGUCCUAGUUCCUAGGGUUGCCAUGAGAUUAUAAACAGAGCGGGAACCAGCACAGGAACCGGGACAUAAUGGUACCCGGUGAACAAUAAAUAGGUCUAGCUGUGCCCAGGACUCUGGAAUAUAAACCAGAAGUCUAAGCGAGAGAGUUGCUACUUUCAAGAUGAAUGUUGAGUGAGAUUAAACUAAAAUGCUUUUAAAAACUAACUGUUCAACUGUUAUUAACAACAGGGAGAAUAUUUAACAUUGAUUGAAUAUUUGCUGUGUGCCUGGCAUGGCCAUAGGUAGUUUACAUACAUAUUUCAUGUCAGAUUAGAAAGCCAUGGCUCAGAUAGGCUGAGUGUCUGAUUCGGGAUCAGACAGCUGGGAAAAGCGAAAGCAGGGAUCCGAGCGAGCCCAGGGCUGGAGCUCCUAACCACUGCACCUCACUGCCUGUGUCCCAGCGGAUGCCCAGUAGCCACUCUCAGAGGGAACAGGCCAGGGUGCUCUGACAUAGUGAAGACGUAGGGCUUGUGCUGAUGGGUCCUAUGAGAAAUUCACACAAAUUAAUAAAAGUGCGUUUCAGAUACAUAUGAGGGUCUGAGCCAGGGAGGGCAAACAAGUAAAUCAAGGAGAUAUUUCAGUGGCUCCACAGGGCGUUUCUAACAUUUAAGAUCAGGAAGUUGCACUUUAAAAAAUCCAUAUUUCUUCCUUGCCUUCAAAAGUUCAUCAUGUAGAAAAAUGGAACCGAGUAACAGACGGCU
Lemur catta (Ring-tailed lemur) is the source of this 2310-nucleotide long non-coding RNA. RefSeq lists it as uncharacterized. The record is from RefSeq and is a predicted model, not a curated record. The transcript has 3 exons. Lineage: Eukaryota; Metazoa; Chordata; Mammalia; Primates; Lemuridae.